Molecule: ribosomal RNA, 300 nt
Filed under: uncultured bacterium
Lineage: Bacteria
Description: bacterial SSU rRNA
Rfam family: Bacterial small subunit ribosomal RNA
Source: RNAcentral
GGCUGUCGUCAGCUCGUGUCGUGAGAUGUUGGGUUAAGUCCCGCAACGAGCGCAACCCCUGCCGUUAGUUGCCAGCGGGUGAGGCCGGGCACUCUAACGGGACUGCCUGCGAAAGCAGGAGGAAGGCGGGGACGACGUCUGGUCAUCAUGGCCCUUACGGCCUGGGCGACACACGUGCUACAAUGCCCACUACAAAGCGAUGCCACCUGGCAACAGGGAGCCAAUCGCGGAAAGGUGGGCGUAGUUCGGAUUGGGGUCUGCAACCCGACCCCAUGAAGCCGGAAUCGCUAGUAAUUGCGA